AGGGCACCACCAGGAGUGGAGCCUGCGGCUUAAUUUGACUCAACACGGGGAAACUCACCCGGCCCGGACACCGGAAGGAUUGACAGAUUGAUAGCUCUUUCUUGAUUCGGUGGAUGGUGGUGCAUGGCCGUUCUUAGCUGGUGGAGCGAUCUGUCUGGUUAAUUCCGAUAACGAACGAGACUCUGGCCUACUAAAUAGAGACAGGAUUAUUACUGUCCUGGAUUCUUCUUAGAGGGACAAGUGGUUUUCAGCCACACGAAAUUGAGCAAUAACAGGUCUGUGAUGCCCUUAGAUGUCCGGGGCUGCACGCGCGCUACACUGAAGGAAUCAGCGUGCUAAAACCAUUGUCGAAAGGCAUUGGUAAACCCCUCAAAAUCCUACGUGAUUGGGAUCGGGAAUUGCAAUUAUUUCCCUUGAACGAGGAAUUCCCAGUAAGUGUGGGUCAUAAGCUCGCGUUGAUUACGUCCCUGCCCUUUGUACACACCGCCCGUCGCUGCCCGGGACUGAGCCGUUUCGAGA
Molecule: ribosomal RNA, 519 nt
Filed under: uncultured eukaryote
Lineage: Eukaryota
Description: SSU rRNA
Rfam family: Eukaryotic small subunit ribosomal RNA
Source: RNAcentral